RNAcentral lists this ribosomal RNA (592 nucleotides) under uncultured bacterium. Its description in RNAcentral is "bacterial SSU rRNA". It matches the Rfam family "Bacterial small subunit ribosomal RNA", at positions 334 to 917 of the family's 1533-position model. The record is from RNAcentral.
UACUCCUACGGGAGGCAGCAGUAGGGAAUCUUCGGCAAUGGACGGAAGUCUGACCGAGCAACGCCGCGUGAGUGAAGAAGGUUUUCGGAUCGUAAAGCUCUGUUGUAAGAGAAGAACGAGUGUGAGAGUGGAAAGUUCACACUGUGACGGUAUCUUACCAGAAAGGGACGGCUAACUACGUGCCAGCAGCCGCGGUAAUACGUAGGUCCCGAGCGUUGUCCGGAUUUAUUGGGCGUAAAGCGAGCGCAGGCGGUUAGAUAAGUCUGAAGUUAAAGGCUGUGGCUUAACCAUAGUACGCUUUGGAAACUGUUUAACUUGAGUGCAAGAGGGGAGAGUGGAAUUCCAUGUGUAGCGGUGAAAUGCGUAGAUAUAUGGAGGAACACCGGUGGCGAAAGCGGCUCUCUGGCUUGUAACUGACGCUGAGGCUCGAAAGCGUGGGGAGCAAACAGGAUUAGAUACCCUGGUAGUCCACGCCGUAAACGAUGAGUGCUAGGUGUUAGACCCUUUCCGGGGUUUAGUGCCGUAGCUAACGCAUUAAGCACUCCGCCUGGGGAGUACGACCGCAAGGUUGAAACUCAAAUGAAUUGACGGA